Molecule: long non-coding RNA, 2379 nt
Filed under: Homo sapiens (human)
Lineage: Eukaryota; Metazoa; Chordata; Mammalia; Primates; Hominidae
Description: HSALNT0029324
Source: RNAcentral
CAUUUGAGCCAAAGAGUGUUCAAAAGGAAAAGUCAACGUUGCAAAGCUAUAGCUGUUCCUAAGUGCUGUGUGUGAGGGGUGUGUGAUGUGUGUGUGUCAUCCUGGCUUUAAACAAACUUUUGAGAGCUGUAGUAUGCUCAGUUGUUUUUGCUACACAGACUGGUAAAAUACAUGUGGAGAUUUCUGAAAGAAACAGGAGAAAAAAAUGGUAGGAAAGAAUAUAGGAGCCCUCUUUGGGGUCAGACAAUUCUGGAAGAGGAGAAAGAAGAGGAGGGGAGAGGAAAAGUAGAGAAGAGAGAGGACAAGGAGGAGAGGGUGGCCAGGAAGAGAGGCCCCAGCUCAGCAAUUGUCAGGUUCCAGCCCCAGCUGAGAUCCGAGGGGAGUGGGUGGAUGGGGCAAGGUGUGGGGGUUGCUGGAAGAACACUCGAGGAGUGGGUGGACGGGGCGGCGGGCGGCGGUGGCUGAAAGAACACUUGAGAGACAGCAGGUAAAUCAGACGUGGCUUUAUUCAGCAUCUCUCAUCAGCUGUUCACUUAUACUGUCCGCUCUGUCUAGGCUGCUUACUCUGGCCACUCCCACACAGAGCUGCACAGCCGGCUCUCGUUUGCCUUCAGGGUCAGCAGCUUAAUUCUUUCUCUGGGCACGAGCAGCCUGAGCUGUGUCCUGGCUCCCCUCUGUUCAUCUGCAAAGACGGACAGCUCUGUCUCUCUCUUUCUCUGGGUUCCAGCACGCCUGUACAGUGUCAGCAAGGCAAUUAUGUCUUUACAGACAAUAGUGGCUUAGAGCCAAGUGAUAAGCCUUCCCGUGUUAUGGCUACAUGGCUGUGAUAACAGGUGGAGUUAUACGCCUGCACUGUAAACUCGCUGAGUCACUCUGGAUGUAUACCUCGGCCUGUGCUUGACCAAAGCACAGCCAUGUUCCUUGCAGCAAUUCAGCUCCGCGUACUGUGCCGUCACUGUAUUCCAGUACCUGUAACCUAAACAGCUUUCUGUGCCCUGCUAUUCAACGAGGUGUCUUCAGGGGAAGGUGUCAUGAUGAAUGUCCAGUGCUCUGGGCAUCUCCGAGUUCAGCCAGGUGAACUCAUCUGUAUCUAUGCUAAUAAACAACAGAAUAGAGAUAAAGGAAAGUUAUAGAGCAAUUAUCCAACCUCCCUUUCUUAAGUCAAUGGAUUACUUUCCUUUCCCCUAACAUUGGACAUCAGAGAUACCCACAAGGAGCCCCAUGUUCUCAACUACUUCCCUGGCCACUGACUUCAUCUGGCAGAGGAGCUGAGCAGCGGUAAAAUAGAAAAGGCAAUAAGAGAAGUGAAGUGAGAAAGGAAGAAGGGGCUUGAUUGUCAACAGAGUGAGAAAUCACCUCCUGGAAAAUGAAGCCUGUACUGUACAAGAACAACAAAAUGAUGAUGAUAAUAACAAUAAUAACAGUAAUUAGAUGUUGCUAUAAUGACCUCAUAAAGCCCAGUUUUUGCAGAAAAAUAAUUUCUUCCUGCUCGUGACGUUGAGGAACUGACAUCGCUUCCUGUGGCUUAGAGACUCAAACAGAGCAUGGGGCCCACGUUACCACUUCUGAAAGGAACAUUCCCUGUAAACAGAGUGAGUCAAGCCAGUGUCGUUUCCCUGGUGAUCGGAGCAUAGUGAUCCUUCUACAAGGCAUACACCCAGCACGCUCCAUGCAGAAAAUCAAUGAGCCUGGUCAGGCAUUUCAGCUUUAAUUAUCUGAGUUGUUGUCAACAACAGAAAUCCCAGUGAAAACAAACAGCCACCAUGCUGUUUUGGGGGCCCUGACAUCUAACUCCCUAGUGUCAGAAUAUAGCUUUUUCAGAGCCAAAGACUGAAGUGAGGUGGGGAGAGAGAAAGGGCAGCUAUCCCCCGGGUCAUGCACUCAGUUGUCGAGGUGCUGAGAGCCACCCUGCACGUUUGACCUGCUGGGCAGGAGGUGGAGCUGGAGCCAGCAGGGACAGCGCCCGGGUCCAGGGCAGAUGUGCGCCUCCUGCUGCCCUGGAGAGGCGGUAAUAGCACAGUGGUCAGAGCAAAGGCUCCUGAUUCAGGCAUGGUCUGAUCCUGCCUCCUCUGAUAACUUGCUGGAUAAUCUUGGUGGUUCUGGAAAGCUUAUAAGCCUCAGUGCCCCUGUCCAAGGGUGUGAGGAUCUCAGGAGAUAAUUCACAUAGAAAGUCCUGCACAGCUGCUAUUGCCCCUGGGACCAGGCUUCUGGACACCACCCUCCUCUCCUCCGGUUUCCCACCCUGAUGUCUCAGUCUUGCCUUCCACUCGCCCUCCUGUACGGCAUCUACUCACCUAGCUCUGGCCCCUUCCGCUGCCACAUUUAGUCCUGCUGUCCCCUCCCAGGUGCUGGUAGAGAAGCCAAGGAGGUAAGGGUUGA